GUAACGCGUGAGAAUCUGCCUUCAGGUCUGGGACAACCACUGGAAACGGUGGCUAAUACCGGAUGUGCCGAGAGGUGAAAGGUUAACUGCCUGAAGAUGAGCUCGCGUCUGAUUAGCUAGUAGGUGGUGUAAAGGACUACCUAGGCGACGAUCAGUAGCUGGUCUGAGAGGACGAUCAGCCACACUGGGACUGAGACACGGCCCAGACUCCUACGGGAGGCAGCAGUGGGGAAUUUUCCGCAAUGGGCGAAAGCCUGACGGAGCAAUACCGCGUGAGGGAGGAAGGCUCUUGGGUCGUAAACCUCUUUUCUCAGGGAAGAACACAAUGACGGUACCUGAGGAAUAAGCAUCGGCUAACUCCGUGCCAGCAGCCGCGGUAAUACGGAGGAUGCAAGCGUUAUCCGGAAUGAUUGGGCGUAAAGCGUCCGCAGGUGGCUAUGUAAGUCUGCUGUUAAAGAGUCUAGCUCAACUAGAUAAGAGCAGUGGAAACUACAUGGCUAGAGUGCGUUCGGGGCAGAGGGAAUUCCUGGUGUAGCGGUGAAAUGCGUAGAGAUCAGGAAGAACACCGGUGGCGAAGGCGCUCUGCUAGGCCGCAACUGACACUGAGGGACGAAAGCUAGGGGAGCGAAUGGGAUUAGAUA
RNAcentral lists this ribosomal RNA (641 nucleotides) under Nostoc sp. 'Peltigera leucophlebia cyanobiont'. RNAcentral's name for it is "bacterial SSU rRNA". It matches the Rfam family "Bacterial small subunit ribosomal RNA", at positions 110 to 784 of the family's 1533-position model. Lineage: Bacteria; Bacillati; Cyanobacteriota; Cyanophyceae; Nostocales; Nostocaceae. The record is from RNAcentral.